RNAcentral lists this ribosomal RNA (478 nucleotides) under uncultured Actinomycetes bacterium. Its description in RNAcentral is "bacterial SSU rRNA". It matches the Rfam family "Bacterial small subunit ribosomal RNA", at positions 28 to 504 of the family's 1533-position model. The record is from RNAcentral. Lineage: Bacteria; Bacillati; Actinomycetota; Actinomycetes.
GACGAACGCUGGCGGCGCGCCUCACACAUGCAAGUCGAGCGAGGAGCCUCCCUUCGGGGAGGUAUCCGAGCGGCGAACGGGUGAGUAACACGUGAGCAACCUGCCCUCGACACCGGGAUAACCCCGGGAAACUGGGGCUAAUACCGGAUACUUGCCAGUCGGGGCAUCCCGAUUGGCAGAAAGGUUCUCCGUCGCGAGGUGGGGUUCCGGUCGAGGAGGGGCUUGCGGCCUAUCAGCUAGUUGGUGGGGUAAAGGCUCACCAAGGCGACGAUCCGUAGCUGGUCUGAGAGGAUGAUCAGCCACACUGGGACUGAGACACGGCCCAGACUCCUACGGGAGGCAGCAGUGGGGAAUAUUGGACAAUGGGCGCAAGCCUGAUCCAGCCAUGCCGCGUGAGUGAAGAAGGCCUUAGGGUUGUAAAGCUCUUUCACCCGCGAAGAUGAUGACGGUAGCGGGAGAAGAAGCCCCGGCUAACUCC